AAUCUAACUACACGUUGUAGAACUUCUUCCUUUCAAGGUGGCUUUGCAACUUAUUAGGUAACAAAUUGAAUUCCACCGAGCCAGGCCUUGCUUACCGGUGCAGUGAGGCUCUUGUUGAGGAGCACGGUGGCUUUCCAGAAGAACAAAGGGAUAUGAAGCAGCUGAUACCAGUUGUAAUUUAAAGCCUUGGGUUUAGAAGAAAAACUUUACAUUUGAGCCUAAGAAAUUCAAAUUCAUCUGUUCUCCAGAAACGAAAUGUGAGAACUAUGAGAAUUCCUGAUCCUCCCAACAAAAGCACCUCACGAUUACACUAAAUUGCUCUCAACAACUGUGAGCCGCUCCUUGGUCUUAUGCUUCCCUCAGAUUAAAAUACUUUAGGGCUGAAGGGUUCAUUUUUUGUUUCUUGGAGACACAGGAUUUCUGUUCAUUUCCAGAAGCAGGAGGGACAGCACAGCACUACCCAGGGCUGCAGGAACUCCUCACAACCCCGCCAUGACACCUCGCUCACCAUGCUGUAUGUGAUGGCUGAAACGCGAGAAGCCUUCACAGCCCUCACUCACAAAUCUGAACGAAACCCAAAACGUGAUCUGGAUUCUCCUGUUCUCGGGGGAUGUCUGAGAACCCCAAACCAACACACAUAAAAAACCUCUUGUGAAACCUAGCAAGUGGGAGUACCAGGCCUUCUCAUAGCUGUACAGCAGCAAGCACAUCAACCUUAACCGUAUCUGAGGAACAAGCGUUUCACACGCCUCAGCAGCGAUCUAGUUAAAAGAUACAGCACCAUUUUCUCAGAACCCCAUCUCGGUGUCAGCAGACACAGCCUCCUCGGAACGCUUCCUUCCUUCCUGGCGGUGCAGGUGCAAUACCGCGGCUCCGCAGCAGCACCGCGCCGUUCCCGCAGGCAGGCACACGGCAGGAAAAGGGCGGGCAAGGACGACCCUCGGACCCGGCUUUCCCUCAGGGCUCCCUUCGAGCUCCCACAGCUCCGCUCUCCAUGAGCGCAAAACGUUUCGCUACAAAAAGUACACCUGUGUCCUUCCACUCACUCAGCAGAAAGCGUAAGUGCGAUACGACGCAGCCGCUCCACAAAAAGCCACCCCAUACCCCAACCACCCACGCGCACACCCACAGCAAUCCCGCCCACGAUUCCCACAGCACGCACGCACGCGCCCCAGCCUUCCCCCGAGCUCACAGGCUCCUAGCGCACGCGCAGACGCACGGCCGCGUCCCAUUGGCCGGUUAGUCACGCACGCUGAGCGGCUGCUCUCUCGGGCCUACGGGUUGCGGCCGCCGCGCAUGCGCAAUCGGCGCCUGCCGGCCCGGCCGCGAGGAGCAGGCGCAAUGCCCCCUCCCGGCAAGCUGGCCGGCCGCCGCGCAUGCGCAGUCGAGACCCUUUCGGGAACGUUCCGUGCCGCCUGUCUCGCUCCAGCCUUCCUCUGCAAGGGAAAUCCUGUCAGGUGCGCACUUUCACCGCUGUCUCCUGCUCUGCCUGCUCCUGCUUUCAGCAUGGUAAAGAAGAACACUAUCCCCGAGGGGUAAGUAUCCCUCACACUAAGCGAGAGGCAGGAGCGGGCACAGCCCUGCUCAUGGAGAAGGGGCACUCACUGCCCCAGGUGCUUUCUUGCUGUACUGCCAGGUAAGGUAGGUAGGUAUCUUCUCCAAGACAGGAACAACACAGCCUUUCAUCCCCCAGGUGAGUAUGAUGCUCCAGCCUGUCUGUGAACAUUCUCCUUCAUCAGCCAAAUGCAGUCCCUUCUUCCUAACUUAGCUCCAGAUGCAUACUUACCUGCAGAAAUGGGAGAGUAGCCCAUCCUGACUGCUCA
Molecule: long non-coding RNA, 1823 nt
Filed under: Gallus gallus (chicken)
Lineage: Eukaryota; Metazoa; Chordata; Aves; Galliformes; Phasianidae
Description: long non-coding RNA NONGGAT008189
Source: RNAcentral